AGGGAGGCGCCAUCGCCCUGGCUUUGGGGCUGGGGCCUCCGGGGAGGUUCCGGUAGGGGCGUUGGAGAGGCCGCUCUUUUUGCAAGGCCCGAGACGGCGGGCCUUGCGCAGGCCGCCCUAUUCCGCGCCCUCAGGGCGUCAGUAUCAGCCUGAGGCUGGAUACCCCCGCUGGGCCCAGAUGCCCCCGCUGGGCCCGGAGCAUCCUCCGGCGCUGCCCUCCCAGAGCCACGCAGAGGCUGAGGUGGCGCGGGGGCGGCCCUGGCUCCGCGAGAAGCGGCGGCAGCGAGGGCUGGAGGACCCGGGCUGCGGGGCUCCGGGGCGUCUGGCCUGGGUGGGACUGAGCCCAUCCAGGGACUGGGACUCCGGGGUUCUGGUGUAGGUGGAUCCGGGGCAGGCUCAGGACCAAGUCCCUCUCCUUCCACCAAGGAGCGCCCAGAGGCCGGCGGGAGCUCCAGGUUCACCUCCUCCUCCUCCAGGAAAUCCCACUUCCAACUGGAUGUCUGGAUGAACUACUGAAAGCUGCUGAGUGUCCUGCAGCAGGUGAGCUGUGGCCAGAGCCCAAGGAUGAAGGGGGCUCCCUCACUCUGUGACUGUGAAGAGGAACCCUGAGGUGUAGCAGGCCCAGGCCCCAGAAGUAUGGAAAAAAUGAGGCCAUUUCCAAUCCAGCGGAAGACCUUCUAGAAGAGAUGAUGGUGGGAGAGUGCUGACAUACUAUGUGAAGCUACUAUUUGGAGUUGGACACGAGUGCAUGUGUCCUUGUGCCACAACGGGAAUCUUGACUACAACACAAAUGAAUCCACUCAAAUGUUGGCAAGUGGAGCAGAGUCCCAGAACAGGUACAGAAACACCCCCAGUUCAAGGAUCUUCACACCUGGAUUUAGGCCUACUCCUGCAACUACCCCAGGCACCAAUUUGAUCUUCUACUACUUUGCAGACAUCUCUUCUGCAAACACCAGACAAAUUGAGACAAUGACCUUCCACAGGACCCAAAUCACCUCUUACUGCAGGAAAGAAGAUCCAGUGAGAAAAUUAGUCCACAAAUGGAAUGUAAAUCCAUAAACACUCUUAAGUAACAGAAUAAAUUUAGUAUGA
Molecule: long non-coding RNA, 1092 nt
Filed under: Homo sapiens (human)
Lineage: Eukaryota; Metazoa; Chordata; Mammalia; Primates; Hominidae
Description: HSALNT0133165
Source: RNAcentral